GACGAACGCUGGCGGCGUGCUUAACACAUGCAAGUCGAACGGAAAGGCCCUGCUUUUGUGGGGUGCUCGAGUGGCGAACGGGUGAGUAACACGUGAGUAACCUGCCCUUGACUUUGGGAUAACUUCAGGAAACUGGGGCUAAUACCGGAUAGGAGCUCCUGCUGCAUGGUGGGGGAUGGAAAGUUUCGGCGGUUGGGGAUGGACUCGCGGCUUAUGAGCUUGUUGGUGGGGUAGUCGCUUACCAAGGGUUAGACGGGUAGCCGGCCUGGGAGGGGGAACGGCGACAAUGCGACUGAGAGACGGCGCAGAAUCGUAUGGGACGCAGCAGUGGGGAAUAUGGCGCAACGGGCGGAAGCCUGUUGCGGCGACGCCGCGUGCGGGAUGACGGCUUUCGGGUUGUAAACCGCUGUCGCCUUUGACGAGGCGUGAGUGACGGUAAUGGGUAAAGAAGCACCGGCUAACUACGUG
This 468-nucleotide ribosomal RNA is filed under the name uncultured bacterium. Its description in RNAcentral is "partial 16S ribosomal RNA". It matches the Rfam family "Bacterial small subunit ribosomal RNA", at positions 28 to 507 of the family's 1533-position model. The record is from RNAcentral.